Molecule: ribosomal RNA, 453 nt
Filed under: uncultured marine bacterium
Lineage: Bacteria
Description: bacterial SSU rRNA
Rfam family: Bacterial small subunit ribosomal RNA
Source: RNAcentral
UAGAGUUUGAUCAUGGCUCAGGAUGAACGCUAGCGGCAGGCUUAACACAUGCAAGUCGAGGGGUAACAGAGAAAAGCUUGCUUUUCUGCUGACGACCGGCGCACGGGUGCGUAACGCGUAUACAAUCUGCCUUAUACAGAGGGAUAGCCUUUAGAAAUGAAGAUUAAUACCUUAUAGUCUAUAUAUAUAGCAUUAUAUAAAUAGUAAAGCUCCGGUGGUAUAAGAUGAGUAUGCGUCCUAUUAGUUAGUUGGUGAGGUAACGGCUUACCAAGACAACGAUAGGUAGGGGCCCUGAGAGGGGGAUCCCCCACACUGGUACUGAGACACGGACCAGACUCCUACGGGAGGCAGCAGUGAGGAAUAUUGGACAAUGGAGGCAACUCUGAUCCAGCCAUGCCGCGUGCAGGAAGACGGCCCUAUGGGUUGUAAACUGCUUUUAUAUAGGAAGAAACC